AGGACGAACGCUGGCGGCGUGCUUAACACAUGCAAGUCGAGCGGAAAGGCCCUUCGGGGUACUCGAGCGGCGAACGGGUGAGUAACACGUGGGCAACCUGCCCCUAGCUCUGGGAUAACUCCGGGAAACCGGUGCUAAUACCGGAUAUGACCUCAUUUGGCAUCCUUUGAGGUGGAAAGAUUUAUUGGCUAGGGAUGGGCCCGCGGCCUAUCAGCUUGUUGGUGGGGUAAUGGCCUACCAAGGCGACGACGGGUAGCCGGCCUGAGAGGGCGACCGGCCACACUGGGACUGAGACACGGCCCAGACUCCUACGGGAGGCAGCAGUGGGGAAUAUUGCGCAAUGGGCGAAAGCCUGACGCAGCGACGCCGCGUGAGGGAUGACGGCCUUCGGGUUGUAAACCUCUUUCAGCAGGGACGAAGCGAAAGUGACGGUACCUGCAGAAGAAGCGCCGGCCAACUACGCGCCAGCAGCCGC
RNAcentral lists this ribosomal RNA (475 nucleotides) under uncultured bacterium. RNAcentral's name for it is "SSU rRNA". It matches the Rfam family "Bacterial small subunit ribosomal RNA", at positions 26 to 518 of the family's 1533-position model. The record is from RNAcentral.